Salvia miltiorrhiza (redroot sage) is the source of this 744-nucleotide long non-coding RNA. RefSeq lists it as uncharacterized. The transcript is spliced from 2 exons. Lineage: Eukaryota; Viridiplantae; Streptophyta; Magnoliopsida; Lamiales; Lamiaceae. The record is from RefSeq and is a predicted model, not a curated record.
AAUAGAAUAUUUCAUUGUAGAGUGAAAUAUAGAGUUGAUUGUUGAAGAGCAAAACUAAAUUACUCUACAUUUCACUCUACAAUAGAGUAAAGUUCACUCUAAUGUAGAGUGAACCAUUGGAGAUGCUCUAAAGCCAACAAAUAUAGUGUAAAAGGAAACUUCUCACCAAAGUAAAGAUCAAGGAAAGCAAGAUCUUCAUCAUGUCGGCGCUUGUAUGUGUCCUUUCUAGAACUGGCUGCUCCUCCGUCUCCAAGAAUGUCGUCCACCCUUCCGACUCCAAAUCCUCGCUAUUUUCGCCGAAAUCCCCAUCGGACCAUGGUGACAAUGAGUCGACGACAACGAGGCCAGUGAGAUCGUCCUCUGGCCCCAGCGAAUCGAGAGUCAAGAUCGGUGAAUCGAUGGUCAACGGUUUUGCUAAAAAAAAAAAAGCACCGAUGAGUGGGGGAACACGACGCCGCUCAGAGAGGUGACAGACUUCAAAUGACGCUAGAGUGUCGGAGGUGAGGUCCUCCUUAUCAUUGUAGACGGCGGGUCGGUGGAGGCAGCGGCGGUUUGCACCCCUCGUGAAACGGAGAACACAAUGGCUCCGCCUUGACAACAAGGCCGGUGGGAAAGAAAUCGGAGGGUACAGAUCCAAGGAUCGACGAUGAAGAGCUGGAAGAUUCUUGACCUUUCAUGGCGUGGUGCGACAGGUUAGAGAGAGACGAGAGAGAAAUGAAUUGGAAACCCUUGAGUGCAGCUAGG